This 77-nucleotide transfer RNA is filed under the name Chitinimonas viridis. RNAcentral's name for it is "tRNA-Pro". It matches the Rfam family "tRNA". From Rfam's summary of the family: Transfer RNA (tRNA) molecules are approximately 80 nucleotides in length. Their secondary structure includes four short double-helical elements and three loops (D, anti-codon, and T loops). Lineage: Bacteria; Pseudomonadati; Pseudomonadota; Betaproteobacteria; Neisseriales; Chitinibacteraceae. The record is from RNAcentral. RNAcentral also lists the same sequence under 11 other names.
CGGAGCGUGGCGCAGCCUGGUAGCGCACUUGCAUGGGGUGCAAGGGGUCGGAGGUUCGAAUCCUCUCGCUCCGACCA